CCUGGGACUCGCGUCCCAGGCUGUCACAUAUCGUCGCUUUGCGACU
Molecule: small RNA, 46 nt
Filed under: Rosistilla oblonga
Lineage: Bacteria; Pseudomonadati; Planctomycetota; Planctomycetia; Pirellulales; Pirellulaceae
Description: Acido-Lenti-1 RNA
Rfam family: Acido-Lenti-1 RNA
Source: Rfam by way of RNAcentral